CCUAACAAAACCUCUAUCAAAAUUAUUAAAAUCCCUAGCAUUCGAAAAACCAGCCCCAAACAUUGAAGACGACAACCAACCUUCCCACGGAAUCGAAGCAGUCUUCAAAUGCCGCUCAUGUCCAUCAAAAAAAUUAGAUCGGUUAGCAAAAUUGCUAGGCAAACGUUGGCCAAAAAAUCGAACCAGACUUGGUUCACUCGGACCACCGUAGUCAUGGUUGAAGCGAUAGAAACAUCUCUAUGCAAUAUGACCAAAACGACUACAUAUCUGGCACUGCAUCUGAGGACGAAAACCACCACGUCCACGCGAGCCAGACGAAAAGCAACCACCAUGCUCAGAGCGACGAUCUGAUUCAGUCACUGCUAUAGCCGGAGAUGCUUCAGCCACGUUCACAAGCAUAGACACUUCUGUCACCACUUGUGUCUGACGACUUUCUAACUCCAUCAACGCAUCAACCAACUUUGGAAAUGGAAAGGUCUCUGACGAAAAUGAUGCGAGAGUUAACAUGGCAUCCAACUCCGAAGAAAACUCAGAUAGAAUUACUUCUACUUUUUCGACCUCCGAAACGACAGAACCAGACUUCUCAAGUAGAGCACAAAUAUUCUGAAUCUUGGCCACAUAUUCGGUAAUAUUCAACGUACCUUCUUGAGGAUAUGCAACUCAUAUUUGACUCGAGAAAUUUUAGCACCGGUGGAGGCAAUAAACAGUGGAUUAGUAAUACUCCAGAUAUCACACACAGUUUUAGUGGCUGUAAAAGAAUGCAAUAAUAGUAGGUAGCAACCAAGAGGCUAAGAGCUUAUCUUGUUGAAGAAAGACGAAUGCCUCUAGAUUUGGAGUCAGAACACCAUCCGAAGACCCAACGAACCUAGGCAGAGCAAGUAGUGUACCAUCUAAAAAUCCUUGCAGCUCAUAUCCUUUUGUGAUUAAUCGGAUAUAUUGCUACCAAAGCACAAAACUCUUUUCAUCUAAUUUUACUAUGUCGUGACGAGGGAAAGCUUGAAUCAACCGUGAGCUGGAAAAUGAUAGGGUAGAAGGACCAACAGAUAUGGAAUCUUGUAAAUUAGCCAUAGAGCAGCAGCGGAUGAAGACCCCAGGAGGUUAGGCAACUGAUACCAUAUUAGAUGCCAUACACAAAUGAAUAUGUUGAUAGGAAAAUAUUAGGAAAACAAUAGAGUAAUUUUCUAUUCAAUCUUUUCUACUUUGAGUGAAUACACUGAUGAAUUUUAUACCCAUGUGAAUGUAACUUCUCCUAACCAACUAAUUAACAAAUUUUAACAACAGACUAACAGCCUCAAUCAAUCUUUAAACUAACGUUUAACACUCAUGAUAGCAUGCCUUCCGGCCUCAAGGAUAAGCUAUGCUCGAACAACUGUCCCUAUUUCCGAUGACCAGCGACAAUGGUGGUGGUGAGAGGUGAGAGUUUGACUAGUGAACAAAGCGGGUGAAGUUGGAAAGUUAGGAUCAUCUGUGAGUUUGAAUGCAGCAAGGAAAGCUCCCACGUGUAAACAAGGAUGGAAUUAGGUCAAACAAUUGGGGUCAAAUGUAAAUUAAGGCCUCAAUUUGUCAUUAUUUUAUUGGCUC
RNAcentral lists this long non-coding RNA (1581 nucleotides) under Gossypium barbadense (sea-island cotton). RNAcentral describes it as "long non-coding RNA (GBAR_LNC018771)". Lineage: Eukaryota; Viridiplantae; Streptophyta; Magnoliopsida; Malvales; Malvaceae. The record is from RNAcentral.